GGUUGGGGGAGGAGGGAAAGCGGCGAGUAAGAUGGAAGAUGAGGAGGUCGCUGAGAGCUGGGAGGAGGCGGCAGACAGCGGGGAAAUAGACAGACGGUUGGAAAAAAAACUGAAGAUCACACAAAAGGAGAGCAGGAAAUCCAAAUCUCCUCCCAAAGUGCCCAUUGUGAUUCAAGACGAUAGCCUUCCCACGGGGCCCCCUCCACAGAUCCGCAUCCUCAAGAGGCCCACCAGCAACGGUGUGGUCAGCAGCCCCAACUCCACCAGCAGGCCAGCCCUUCCUGUCAAGUCCCUAGCACAGCGGGAGGCAGAGUACGCAGAGGCUCGGAGACGGAUCCUAGGCAGUGCCAGCCCUGAGGAGGAGCAGGAGAAACCCAUCCUCGACAGUCUGCACCUGUCUGGAGUGGGAAAGUCCAUCUCCUUCUGUCUUCUCUAGUACUAGGAGUCAGCAGCUAGCCUCGUGGUUUGGAGGGAAACAGGAGUCAGCCAGGCCAACCAGGAUCUCCCAACCCGAAGACAGCAGGCAGCCCAGUAAUGUGAUCAGACAGCCGUUGGGUCCUGACGGGUCACAAGGCUUCAAACAGCGCAGAUAAAUGCAGGCCAGAAAGGCUGCUGCCGCCGCCGCCACCACCACCACCACCGCCUCCUGGAUUGUCUGCCAUGGGUCGCACUGCUGUGGCAGACGUCUGGACUUGAGCAGAGGGAAUAACCUGACUUACUUGCACUGUGAUCCCCCUUGCUCCGCCCACUGUGACCUUGAACCCCAUGCACUGUGACCUCUGCCUCCCCCCCUUCCCACUGUGAUUGGCAUGUUGACAAGGGCUGUCCCAAGUCAAUAGAAAGGGAAAGGGUGGGGAUUAGGGGAGGAUUAGGGGAACCUACCAAGGACUCAGAGUAGAGGGUCAGACAGUGCCACUUGGCCACUUGGGGUAAAGCCAGUGCCAGCAAUAACAGUUUAUCAUGCUCAUUAAUUUGGGAUUUCAAAACACAAAUGAGAACUCCCCCACCCACCCCAAGUGCAUGUCGCCAUCACUUAAAGUAAGUUCCAUUGAAAAUAUCCUUACUUUUUUUUUUCUUCCUAUUUUUGUUUGUUUAAUACAAAUACCUGAUUUGCAAGAAAAAGUGCAUGGAAGGGGUUUAGCAGUUUAAUGAAUUUUUAAUUGAGAAAGGGUAGUUUAGUAGUCACUUAAAAGAUGUUUCUAGGAAAUUUGCUAGAAACAUUAACCAAUAGGAUUUUGAUGAGCUUAGCUUCUGUAUUCCUACUGCCACCCAGAAGAGAGGCCGGGCUCGGGAGCCCCCCAUAGAUGAGCAUCUGUGCCUAAGUCACCUUCCUCCAGCUAAGUCCCAGCUAAGUCGCAUAGAGAUAGCUCAGAGAGCCUGGGGGAGGGGCUGACCCCACGUUAGUAUUGUGAGAGAUGGGGAAAGUGGUGAGCUUCCCCUUCCCACACCCCUCAGGGUGGGCUGGCCCCCUACCAGCCAGGUUUGCUGCUUCUAGAGGAGGGCACAGAGUGACUCUGGGCUCAGCAAGGCAGUGGUGACACUUGUCCAGUGUUGGCUGUCAGCCCAAGCCCAGGAGAGAGUCUGGCUCCAGAACUCCAGGCCUCUGCCUGGAGAGCUCAGAAGGUAGAGAGGCCUGUCCCUUCCAGCAAGACUGGAUGGAACGCUUAAGGAUCUGUGGCGUGCCACGUCUAUGGACAGUCCUGGCUCAGGGGCUAUACAGGAGCAUAGCCUGGGUGAAAUGAGUGGACGAGAGCAGCUGGGGAAGCAUCGGAAAAGACAAACUGCAUUGCAAAGGCAGAUGGCCAACAGGUUCCUCAGACAGGUUCCUCAGAGGGCUCGGCUGCCCUUCCCUUAGCAGAGCAAGGCUGACAUGAAGGCCAUUUCUGUUCCCGAGCCUGGAGGUUUGCUUUGGCUCUUGGUGGGAGAGGCUUGAGAGGGCGGCUGUGUCCCGCUAGGUGCUCUCUGGCUUUGUAGUCUCUUCCAAUGCACUUCGCCUUAUCCCUCAGCCAGCCUGACAGCCUCCCCUCUCCUGACCAGCACUCAGGUUUGGGAGUGGGUGGUGUGGUGUGGGAUUAGGGCAGCCAUAGCAGCCAAGGUGUUGAGUUUUGCAGGAUCAUACCGCCUUUGGUUCCUCUGGCCUGUGCCCUGUAGCAAUGGCCCACAUCACCUUCCCCUUGGGAAGAGCCCUUCCCCAACACAGCCCUAGACUUGCCUGAAACCAGGGGCCAUCUGUGAGUGAGCUGGAACAGAGCCUCAGCAGGAGGGCUGCUAGCUCAGCGUCUAGGGCCCGCCCACAGGGGCUAGUGGUUUUGGUUGAAGGACAGACUGUCCUUUCUCUGGAGAAGGGUGCAGAACCCUGCUUGCCUGGUCCCUUCUAGUGGAAGCCAAGGGCAGGCAGCGUCUGCACAUGGAGAGCGUGCAAGAGUGGCUCUCCCAUCCCAGUCUGGCCAAAGGAGGCCCCGCCCACAGUGCCCCUGCACCUCCCAAGCCCACCAGCAGUCAUGCAUUUGGCCUUCUAGAUGGAGAGGUGGCCGGGCAAGACUAAAGGAAGGAAGGAAAGAAGGAAAACAGACUGGUGUUGGGGGUGGGGGGCGCGGGAAACGGUUUGGAUUUUGUGUGUGUGUUUGUGGGGUUUAUUUUUGUGUGUGUGUGUUUUCCAUUUUUUGUAGUUGUCUAUAACUCCAUAAGUGCUUUUUUUUUUUCUUUUUUCUUUUUUCUCUCUUUCUGUCUUUGAGUAAGUUGCAGGCUUUGGCUUGGAAAUCCCCAGGGGGAUGAAGGGCAGGACCCUGAGGCUGCUGCCCCUUUGUCUGCCUUCAUGGUACUGUCCCUUCCCCCAGCUCUUCCUGGACCCCAUGAGCCAGGCCUCAGCCCUUCCAGCUAACCGCUUCCCAUGAGCCACUACUCUGAUGUCAGCCUAUAACCAAAGGAGCUGGGGGUCCGGGUCUGGUGACCAGCCCUUCUCAGUCCCCUCAAUCAGGGUGCUCCCCACCUGCAGGCAGGAGGCAACACCCUAUCUGCUGCCAUCAGCCCCUUCCAGAGCCUACCUGUCCCGCCCAGCCCUGUCCUGCCCUGCCAUACCCUGCUCUGCCCCAUCUGGGGGUGCUGUGCUCAGGGAUGGGCCGGCAGGGCUGAUCCAGUCUCCCUGGUAAGCAGAGACUCAAGAAAACCUCUGGGGUCCUGCUUCUGGUCAUAUGACCCAGGGGGCGGGCCCUUGGGCGUCUGUACAGAAGGGACUGGGAGGGAGGGCCGCACCCUGCAGUCUUGCUCUGCUGGUGUAGCAGGCAGCUCCUCACCCUAACCCCCACCGCGGGCUCCUGAGUCGGCAGAUUAAGCAUUUUAUAAAUUGUAUUUUAAAUACAUGUUUUAAACUUGUCA
RNA transcript from Rattus rattus (black rat), 3375 nucleotides. It is a transcript of the gene named SUZ RNA binding domain containing 1, with no coding region annotated. The transcript is spliced from 5 exons. NCBI's taxonomy places the organism in Eukaryota, Metazoa, Chordata, Mammalia, Rodentia, Muridae. The record is from RefSeq and is a predicted model, not a curated record.